RNAcentral lists this ribosomal RNA (253 nucleotides) under uncultured bacterium. RNAcentral describes it as "partial 16S ribosomal RNA". It matches the Rfam family "Bacterial small subunit ribosomal RNA", at positions 524 to 776 of the family's 1533-position model. The record is from RNAcentral.
UACGAAGGGGGCUAGCGUUGUUCGGAUUUACUGGGCGUAAAGCGCACGUAGGCGGCUCGUUAAGUCGGGGGUGAAAUCCUGGAGCUCAACUCCAGAACUGCCUUCGAUACUGGCGAUCUCGAGUCCGGAAGAGGUGAGCGGAACUCCUAGUGUAGAGGUGGAAUUCGUAGAUAUUAGGAAGAACACCAGUGGCGAAGGCGACUCACUGGUCCGGUACUGACGCUGAGGUGCGAAAGCGUGGGGAGCAAACAGG